UACGGGGGGAGCAAGCGUUGUUCGGACUUACUGGGCGUAAAGGGCGCGUAGGCGGCCACCGCAAGUCGGUUGUGAAAUCUCUGGGCUUAACCCAGAAAGGUCAACCGAUACUGCGGGGCUAGAGUGCAGAAGGGGCAACUGGAAUUCUCGGUGUAGCGGUGAAAUGCGUAGAUAUCGAGAGGAACACCUGCGGCGAAGGCGGGUUGCUGGGCUGACACUGACGCUGAAGCGCGAAAGCUAGGGGAGCGAACGGG
Molecule: ribosomal RNA, 254 nt
Filed under: uncultured bacterium
Lineage: Bacteria
Description: partial 16S ribosomal RNA
Rfam family: Bacterial small subunit ribosomal RNA
Source: RNAcentral